RNAcentral lists this long non-coding RNA (292 nucleotides) under Setaria viridis. RNAcentral describes it as "long non-coding RNA (SVIR_LNC001831)". Lineage: Eukaryota; Viridiplantae; Streptophyta; Magnoliopsida; Poales; Poaceae. The record is from RNAcentral.
AAUUUGAGGUCCAUUGGAGGUGCAUAAAAAGAAUUAGAAUUACUUUAUUACCCUAAGGUAGCAUACACUUAAAAAUUUUGAAAACAGAAACCAUUAUGAAACUGGUCACGAACUUUUAACAGUGAGUUAUAGGGGUGAUAUAGAGCCUUUGGUGAAUUUUUCAUAAUUUUUAGUGAUGGGCAUCUUUUUCCAUACAAUUACCCUAUUUAAUCUUCCCUAAAAAGGAAAAGUUAUUUUUUUCUGUUUCUGAUCAAGUUCCAUAUUUUUCAUACAAACUACACUAUACCACUAC